This 263-nucleotide unclassified non-coding RNA is filed under the name Hevea brasiliensis (rubber tree). Lineage: Eukaryota; Viridiplantae; Streptophyta; Magnoliopsida; Malpighiales; Euphorbiaceae. The record is from RNAcentral.
AGUCUGCUACUUGCAGAAAUUCCUUUUUCAAUCAUGAAGCAGGAUAUGAUGCAAACAAAUAAAGGUCAAGAAGCUUCAUGGCAGGAUUUUUUUAUUACUUUUUCUUUUUCUUUUUUAAGGGAACAGGUGGGGGAAGAUGGGAUAAAUGAGAUCAUCAUCUAUGAAGGAAUGAGAAGAAAGCCUAAAGAAGUAAUAACCAAGCAUGCAACAUGUAAAUGAAUAGACCUAUACCAUGAAAAAUGCAUUAAUGCAAGACAAAUAAA